UUUGAGGUUGAUGUAAUACUUAAGGGUGUUUGAGGGUGAUGUAAUCCUUACGGGUGUUUGAGGUUGAUGUAAUACUUACAGGUGUUUGAGGUUGAUGUAAUACUUACAGGUGUUUGAGGUUGAUGUAAUACUUACGGGUGUUUGAGGUUGAUGUAAUACUUACAGGUGUUUGAGGUUGAUGUAAUACUUACAGGUGUUUGAGGUUGAUGUAAUACUUACAAGUGUUUGAGGGUGAUGUAAUACUUACAGGUGUUUGAGGUUGAUGUAAUACUUACAGGUGUUUGAGGUUGAUGUAAUAAUUACGGGUAUUUGAGGUUGAUGUAGCGGUCAGGGUUUAAUACUUACAGGUGUUUGAGGUUGAUGUAAUACUUAGGGGUGUUUGAGGUUGACGUAAUACUUAGGGGUGUUUGAGGUUGAUGUGAUACUAAGGGGUGUUUGAGGUUGAUGUAAUACUUAAGGGUGUUUGAGGUUGAUGUAAUACUUACGGGUGUUUGAGGUUGAUGUAAUACUUACGGGUGUUUGAGGUUGAUGUAAUACUUAAGGGUGUUUGAGGUUGAUGUAAUACUUAGGGGUGUUUGAGGUUGAUGUAAUACUUACGGAUGUUUGAGGUUGAUGUAAAACUUAGGGGUGUUUGAGUUUGAUGUAAUACUUAUGGGUGUUUGAGGUUGAUGUAAUACUUACGGGUGUUUGAGGUUGAUGUAGCGGUCAGGUAUUAGUCCCUCCUUCCCCUG
Long non-coding RNA from Saccostrea cuccullata (small rock oyster), 731 nucleotides. RefSeq lists it as uncharacterized. The transcript has 3 exons. The record is from RefSeq and is a predicted model, not a curated record. Lineage: Eukaryota; Metazoa; Mollusca; Bivalvia; Ostreida; Ostreidae.